This 248-nucleotide ribosomal RNA is filed under the name uncultured bacterium. RNAcentral describes it as "partial 16S ribosomal RNA". It matches the Rfam family "Bacterial small subunit ribosomal RNA", at positions 32 to 261 of the family's 1533-position model. The record is from RNAcentral.
AAUCAACGCUGGCGGCGUGCCUAACACAUGCAAGUCGAACGCGAGAGGGGGCUUCGGCCCCGAUUGAGUGGCGAACGGGUGAGUAACGCGUGGGUGACCUACCUUCGAGUGGGGGAGUAACGUCCCGAACGGGACGCUAAUACCGCAUAACAUCCUGCUUUUGUAAUGGGUGGAGAUCAAAGCCGGGGAUCGCAAGACCUGGCGCUUGAUGAGGGGCCCGCGUCUGAUUAGCUAGUUGGNGAGGUAAC